AAGUCGUAACAAGGUUUCCGUAGGUGAACCUGCGGAAGGAUCAUUAUCAAAUUUAAUUAUCCAAAACCUGGGUAUCUCUCCGCAAGGGGAGGUACUCUAAACCAAACGUGAACUGUUUUGCCUCUGAUUGACAUUUCUUGAUGUAAAAAAAAUUGUAGUUCGGUUUUCUGAAUUACUUUUUUUUCGUCAGUCAGAGUGUAUUUUUUUACAUCAUACUUUUAACCAAUUGAACCGUUAAUAUUUAUAUUAUUGAAUUGUUUGGAACUGAAUUUGUUUCUUACCCAUUCAUUUGGGAAGAUAACAUAAUUUACGAAACAAUAAAAAAUAUAACUCUUAGCAACGGAUAUCUUGGUUCUC
This 357-nucleotide unclassified non-coding RNA is filed under the name fungal sp. RNAcentral's name for it is "partial internal transcribed spacer region". The stretch from base 1 to 46 matches the Rfam family "Eukaryotic small subunit ribosomal RNA", at positions 1786 to 1831 of the family's 1831-position model. The record is from RNAcentral. Lineage: Eukaryota; Fungi.